RNAcentral lists this ribosomal RNA (436 nucleotides) under uncultured marine eukaryote. RNAcentral describes it as "SSU rRNA". It matches the Rfam family "Eukaryotic small subunit ribosomal RNA", at positions 618 to 1063 of the family's 1831-position model. The record is from RNAcentral.
GUUAAAAAGCUCGUAGUUGGAUUUCGGUUAAGAGCGACCGGUCCGCCGUUUGGUGUGCACUGGUUGGUUUUAACUUCCUGUAGAGGACGUGCUCUGGGCUUAACGGUCUGGACUCGGAGUCUACGUGGUUACUUUGAAAAAAUUAGAGUGUUCAAAGCGGGCUUACGCUUGAAUAUUUCAGCAUGGAAUAACACUAUAGGACUCCUGUCCUAUUUCGUUGGUCUCGGGACGGGAGUAAUGAUUAAGAGGAACAGUUGGGGGCAUUCGUAUUUCAUUGUCAGAGGUGAAAUUCUUGGAUUUAUGAAAGACGAACUUCUGCGAAAGCAUUUGCCAAGGAUGUUUUCAUUAAUCAAGAACGAAAGUUGGGGGCUCGAAGAUGAUUAGAUACCAUCCUAGUCUCAACCAUAAACGAUGCCGACUAAGGAUUGGCGGAUGU